CGGAGGAUCCAAGCGUUAUCCGGAAUUACUGGGCGUAAAGAGUUGCGUAGGUGGCAUAGUAUGUCUGUAGUGAAAGCGUGUGGCUCAACCAUAUACACAUUACAGAAACUGCUAAGCUAGAGGGCGAGAGAGGUAACUAGAAUUCCUAGUGUAGGAGUGGAAUCCGUAGAUAUUAGGAGGAAUACCGAUGGCGUAGGCAGGUUACUGGCUCGUCCCUGACACUAAGGCACGAAAGCGUGGGAGCAAACGGGAUU
Molecule: ribosomal RNA, 254 nt
Filed under: uncultured bacterium
Lineage: Bacteria
Description: partial 16S ribosomal RNA
Rfam family: Bacterial small subunit ribosomal RNA
Source: RNAcentral